Lachnospiraceae bacterium CAG:364 is the source of this 78-nucleotide small RNA. It matches the Rfam family "skipping-rope RNA". Rfam says of the family: Firmicutes, Fusobacteria, AlphaProteobacteria, Spirochaetes. Downstream gene NCBI's taxonomy places the organism in Bacteria, Bacillati, Bacillota, Clostridia, Lachnospirales, Lachnospiraceae. The record is from Rfam.
AAUUACAAAGGUCGGAAAGGCUCCCGACACACUCGUAAGAGUACCUGAGAUGCUGGAUACGCCGCCCAGCUUGUAAUU